UACGUAGGUGGCAAGCGUUGUCCGGAUUUACUGGGCGUAAAGGGCGCGUAGGCGGCCGUUUGCGUCGGAUGUGAAAGCCCGGGGCUCAACCUCGGAACGGCAUUCGAUACGGGACGGCUGGAGACCGGGAGAGGAGAGUGGAAUAGCCAGUGUAGAGGUGAAAUUCGUAGAUAUUGGCUGGAACACCGGUGGCGAAGGCGGCCUGCUGGGCAGUAGCUGACGCUGAGGCGCGACAGCGUGGGGAGCAAACAGG
RNAcentral lists this ribosomal RNA (253 nucleotides) under uncultured bacterium. Its description in RNAcentral is "partial 16S ribosomal RNA". It matches the Rfam family "Bacterial small subunit ribosomal RNA", at positions 524 to 776 of the family's 1533-position model. The record is from RNAcentral.